Cyclopterus lumpus (lumpfish) is the source of this 1820-nucleotide long non-coding RNA. RefSeq lists it as uncharacterized. The record is from RefSeq and is a predicted model, not a curated record. NCBI's taxonomy places the organism in Eukaryota, Metazoa, Chordata, Actinopteri, Perciformes, Cyclopteridae. The transcript has 3 exons.
GUCACAGACAGACAGGCAGACAGACAGGUCGCAGCGUCACAGCCCUGUGUGUCGGUCGGGACCUAGCGUUAGCUGCGGUGUAAGCUGCGGGGGAGAGGCGGUUCUUGAAGGCGUGGAAACCCACUUGACGUUACCGAUAACGGGAUAUCGAUCCCAAGUGAUCGGUGCCGAUGAAACGACCCGUCUCGUGUGGACCCGGAGGAGAAGAAGAGACUUUUACAGUCACACGGUUCUUCAGAUACAACCGGAACGACUCGUCAUAGAGACUAAACUGUGCGCGUCAUCGACCCACAACGUGCACGUGGACCUGUCUGAGUGGACUCUGUGUGGUUCCGCUUCAUUGAACACGUCCGGAUCGUCUCCUCGUGACGUCAGCGCGCCAGCAGGAGGGAGACGGACCCGAACGGAGCCGAGCGACACCGAGCGGGUCCGAGUGAGCGAAGCGUUUUUAACGGAGUUGUCUGGAGGAAACGUUUCUGUGAGCUCGUGAAGAUGUCUAAAGUCCAACAGCUGAGAUGUUUAGUCAACCAGCGACUAACUGCGGCUGCGCAAGAGAUCUUUGGUCUGUUUGAAAGAACGAUAGCAGAGUACGAGGAGGAACUUUGUAGUUCCAGAGAGGAGAACGAGCGACACCGGAAACGACUGGACGCUGUGUUCAACCCGGAAGUCCGGUUACACAGAGCAGUAGACCCAGAGCCCCCCCACAUUAAAGAGGAACAGGAGGACCCAGAGCCCCCAAACAUUUGGAAAGUUCAUCCAAUGUUUCCACCAAAAUGACUUCAGUUCAAUGUUGUUCUUCUAUAUUUGUCCCAGAGUUUGUAACCAAGCUGCAGCAGACUGGUUUUAUUUUUAAAUAAAUAUGUGUGUUCAUGAUUAAUGUUUUAAUGGAAGUUACAUUUAUAAUGUGUACGUGAAAUGUGAAAUGAAUUGGUUUCAUUUAUGAAAUGUAUUGUUCACUGAUAUGAUUUCCACCCUGUUAUCUGAGUGUCAUUGAACCUCUGGCCGAGGCUAUUAGAAUACACCUACAUGUUAAAGGUAUUAACAGUGGGAAAAUGGAGCAUAUUAUUUCACUGUAUGCAGAUGAUAUACUGCUAUUUUUCCAUAACCCUAAACAAUCAAUGUGCUCGAAAUAAUCUGUGAAUUUGGUAGAUUCUCUGACUGUAAGAUCAAUAUGGGUAAAUCAACUGCCCUACCACUUGGAGGCAGUAGAGACCCGGAUAACAGCAUAAUAUCUCCAUUUAAUUUAUCUCCCAAUGGCUUUAAAUACCUGGGAAUCCAUGUCUGCUCCCAACUGGAAGACCUGGUGAAGAUGAAUCUGUCUCCUGUCCUCAAACAGAUUAAACUGGAUGUACAUAGAUGGCUGCCGCUCCCAAUUUCUUGGCUGAAUAUACUCCCUAGAAUGUUGUACCCCUUGUUCACUGAUAUGAUUUCCACCCUGUUAUCUGAGUUUAUUUUAUGAUAAUUAAAUGAAAUCAAGAAUUAUUAAGCAUAUCUUUGUGGUUACUUGCAGGUUAUGAAUUGGCUAAAUAAAAUAACAUAAAAAUGGCGUAAAAUUUCAAUUAAAUUUUAGAAGAACUUUUUACAAAAUAUUGCUUGUUUGUAAAUACUGUUUAAAAUAUAUUUUAGGGUAAAGGUGGAUUUGUGCUCAAACUGUAUUCAUGUACUCAGAUUUAGUUCUUCUUGCUCAGAUCUUCUGCUCUCCAGCUUCAGGCUGCGUUUGCUUCACUGGAACGUCCCUGAUGGAGGACUGGUUCCUCCUCUUCUGCAGCCCAAGGCUUUAUUAUAUUGUUCUUUAUCAAUAAAAGGACGAUUAAUGACAA